UUGUAGUGAGUCCAAUUAAGGUAUGGAUAAUAUAUGGUUUUAGUUAAUGGUAAAUGGUACCUUUUAUUGUGGAUCACCCCUGGACCAAAGACUUGGUACCUAUUGUUGUAAGUUCGUAUUGAUUUCGCUAAUUGUAAUAGAAAACAGACUCAAGCUCAAGCUGGGGGAGAUUGUUACCACAAUUUCAACUAUCAAUAAGCACAAUUUAGAAGGCAGAUUUAAAUUUUAUUUAUUUAUUUAUUUAUUUAUUUUUAAAUUUCCUUUAGAAAUGCUAAUUGCUUUAAUAGAGGAUUAAGUUAUCCAAGGGGUAUUGACUUUCUACGGGUAGUGUCAUCAGUAGAUCUUGGUUAUUUUUUCACUCAAAUGUACUCAAAUUUUAGUUCUUUAUUUAUAUUUUCAGAUACACAAUUUUCUAGUUGUUGCUUCUGUGUUGCAAAUUGGCAUUCAACUUUUACAUCCAAGUAAAUUUCUAUUUUAUUGGUGUUGUUUAUUAAUAUGUCCUGCUAGUGCAGAUAAAACCUUUAGUGAAGCCAACCAAAGACAUAAUGAAAGUUCGUCGCAUUAAAUAUGCUUAGCAUGAGUUUUUUCUUGAGGCUAGGUACAACAUUGGUGCAGUUAUCUUACUUUGGGCACCCGUAGUCUUGAUUGCAUUGUGGAAUAUGCAUCCAUUAUUCAAAGAAAGGGCGACAUUCCAAGCACUCACACUUUCUCUCCUUGCUAGCUAAAUUGGCUGACAAGCUAAAGAAGUCAGUGGAGGAUUAAAUUCAUUUUCUCAAGGGAAGGGUUUCAGAACUUGAAAGUGAUCUUGUGUCGAUGUCCACAAAAGUUACAUAUGCAGUUUUAAGAAAAGAAGAAGCUCUAUCUUCUGCAUUUACUAAGAUUGGCCGUCUAAAGGAAGAAAAUUCUUUAAAAACGUAAGCAUUAUUGAAUGCAUAUGGAGGGUGUUUACUGUGUUGGAGUAUAUUUGUUUCUUGCACAUGAGGGCAUGCCUUAGUUGUAAUUCUUAUGAUAGGUUGAACAAAGUGAAGUAUUGUUUAUUUAGAAAUGUGAAUAUAGGAUGCAUUGUAUGAUUUGAUUGCUAUUUGUAAUAAAUGCAUCAUUU
Molecule: long non-coding RNA, 1102 nt
Organism: Magnolia sinica
Lineage: Eukaryota; Viridiplantae; Streptophyta; Magnoliopsida; Magnoliales; Magnoliaceae
Exons: 4
Source: RefSeq, a predicted model, not a curated record